ACCGUAAGGGAAACCCAGGCUAAUACCGCAUACGUCCUACGGGAGAAAGGGGGCUUCGGCUCCCGCUAUUGGAUGAGCCUAUGUCGGAUUAGCUAGUUGGUGAGGUAAAGGCUCACCAAGGCAACGAUCCGUAGCUGGUCUGAGAGGAUGAUCAGCCACAUCGGGACUGAGACACGGCCCGAACUCCUACGGGAGGCAGCAGUGGGGAAUAUUGGACAAUGGGCGCAAGCCUGAUCCAGCCAUGCCGCGUGUGUGAAGAAGGCCCUCGGGUUGUAAAGCACUUUCAGCGAGGAAGAACGCCUAGCGGUUAAUACCCGCUAGGAAAGACAUCACUCGCAGAAGAAGCACCGGCUAACUCCGUGCCAGCAGCCGCGGUAAUACGGAGGGUGCAAGCGUUAAUCGGAAUUACUGGGCGUAAAGCGCGCGUAGGUGGCUUGAUAAGCCGGUUGUGAAAGCCCCGGGCUCAACCUGGGAACGGCAUCCGGAACUGUCAAGCUAGAGUGCAGGAGAGGAAGGUAGAAUUCCCGGUGUAGCGGUGAAAUGCGUAGAGAUCGGGAGGAAU
RNAcentral lists this ribosomal RNA (562 nucleotides) under Halomonas sp. ANNPS_1. RNAcentral's name for it is "bacterial SSU rRNA". It matches the Rfam family "Bacterial small subunit ribosomal RNA", at positions 143 to 707 of the family's 1533-position model. The record is from RNAcentral. RNAcentral also lists the same sequence under 12 other names. Lineage: Bacteria; Pseudomonadati; Pseudomonadota; Gammaproteobacteria; Oceanospirillales; Halomonadaceae.